GAUGAACGCUGGCGGCGUGCUUAACACAUGCAAGUCGAACGGAAAGGCCGAAGCUUGCUUCGGUACUCGAGUGGCGAACGGGGGAGUAACACGUGGGUGAUCGGCCCUGUACUUCGGGAUAAGCUUGGGAAACUGGGUCUAAUACCGGAUAUGACGAGCUCUUGGAGGGGGAUGUGGAAAGCUUUUGCGGUAUGGGAUGAGCUCGCGGCCUAUCAGCUUGUUGGUGGGGGAGUGGCCUACCAAGGCUUCGACGGUUAGCCGGCCUGAGAGGGUGUACGGCCGCAUUGGGACUGAGAGACGGCCCAGACUCCUACGGGUGGCAGCAGGGGGGCAUAUUUCACACUGGGCGCCAGCCUGAUGCAGCGACGCCUCGUGGUGGAUGACGGCCUUCGUGUUGUAAACUCCUCUCGCAAUCGACGAAGCCUUUUGGUGACGGUAGGUUGAGAAGAAGCACCGGCUAACUACGUG
Molecule: ribosomal RNA, 468 nt
Filed under: uncultured bacterium
Lineage: Bacteria
Description: partial 16S ribosomal RNA
Rfam family: Bacterial small subunit ribosomal RNA
Source: RNAcentral